Molecule: ribosomal RNA, 484 nt
Filed under: uncultured bacterium
Lineage: Bacteria
Description: partial 16S ribosomal RNA
Rfam family: Bacterial small subunit ribosomal RNA
Source: RNAcentral
AUUGAACGCUGGCGGCAGGCCUAACACAUGCAAGUCGAGCGGAUGAAGGGAGCUUGCUCCUGGAUUCAGCGGCGGACGGGUGAGUAAUGCCUAGGAAUCUGCCUGGUAGUGGGGGAUAACGUCCGGAAACGGGCGCUAAUACCGCAUACGUCCUGAGGGAGAAAGUGGGGGAUCUUCGGACCUCACGCUAUCAGAUGAGCCUAGGUCGGAUUAGCUAGUUGGUGGGGUAAAGGCCUACCAAGGCGACGAUCCGUAACUGGUCUGAGAGGAUGAUCAGUCACACUGGAACUGAGACACGGUCCAGACUCCUACGGGAGGCAGCAGUGGGGAAUAUUGGACAAUGGGCGAGAGCCUGAUCCAGCCAUGCCGCGUGUGUGAAGGAGGUCUUCGGAUUGUAAAGCACUUUAAGUUGGGAGGAAGGGCAGUAAGUUAAUACCUUGCUGUUUUGACGUUACCAACAGAAUAAGCACCGGCUAACUUCGUG